GCCUGAUCCAGACCAUGCCGCGUGAGUGAUGAAGGCCUUAUGGGUUCGUAAAGCUCUUUACGACUCAUGAGAUGAUAAUGACACGKAUCCUGKUAAAGGAACACCCCGGUCUAACUWCCGAUGUCCAGCAUGCCGCGGUAAUACGGAGGGGGUUAGCGUAGUUCGGAAUGUACUGGGCGUAAAGCGUACGUAGGCGGAUUAGUCAGGUCAGAGGUGAAAUCCCAGGGCUCAACCCUGGAACUGCCUUGUGAUACUGCUAGAUCUUGNAGKUUCGAAGAGAGGUGAGUGGAA
This 291-nucleotide ribosomal RNA is filed under the name uncultured bacterium. RNAcentral's name for it is "partial 16S ribosomal RNA". It matches the Rfam family "Bacterial small subunit ribosomal RNA", at positions 381 to 666 of the family's 1533-position model. The record is from RNAcentral.